This 822-nucleotide ribosomal RNA is filed under the name Arthrobacter sp. RNAcentral's name for it is "bacterial SSU rRNA". It matches the Rfam family "Bacterial small subunit ribosomal RNA", at positions 24 to 857 of the family's 1533-position model. Lineage: Bacteria; Bacillati; Actinomycetota; Actinomycetes; Micrococcales; Micrococcaceae. The record is from RNAcentral.
UCAGGAUGAACGCUGGCGGCGUGCUUAACACAUGCAAGUCGAACGAUGAAACCCACUUGUGGGUGGAUUAGUGGCGAACGGGUGAGUAACACGUGAGUAACCUGCCCUUGACUCUGGGAUAAGCCUGGGAAACUGGGUCUAAUACCGGAUAUGACUGAUCAUCGCAUGGUGGUUGGUGGAAAGCUUUUGCGGUUUUGGAUGGACUCGCGGCCUAUCAGCUUGUUGGUGGGGUAAUGGCCUACCAAGGCGACGACGGGUAGCCGGCCUGAGAGGGUGACCGGCCACACUGGGACUGAGACACGGCCCAGACUCCUACGGGAGGCAGCAGUGGGGAAUAUUGCACAAUGGGCGAAAGCCUGAUGCAGCGACGCCGCGUGAGGGAUGACGGCCUUCGGGUUGUAAACCUCUUUCAGUAGGGAAGAAGCCGUAAGGUGACGGUACCUGCAGAAGAAGCGCCGGCUAACUACGUGCCAGCAGCCGCGGUAAUACGUAGGGCGCAAGCGUUAUCCGGAAUUAUUGGGCGUAAAGAGCUCGUAGGCGGUUUGUCGCGUCUGCCGUGAAAGUCCGGGGCUCAACUCCGGAUCUGCGGUGGGUACGGGCAGACUAGAGUGAUGUAGGGGAGACUGGAAUUCCUGGUGUAGCGGUGAAAUGCGCAGAUAUCAGGAGGAACACCGAUGGCGAAGGCAGGUCUCUGGGCAUUAACUGACGCUGAGGAGCGAAAGCAUGGGGAGCGAACAGGAUUAGAUACCCUGGUAGUCCAUGCCGUAAACGUUGGGCACUAGGUGUGGGGGACAUUCCACGUUUUCCGCGCCGUAGCUAACG